Molecule: ribosomal RNA, 253 nt
Filed under: uncultured bacterium
Lineage: Bacteria
Description: partial 16S ribosomal RNA
Rfam family: Bacterial small subunit ribosomal RNA
Source: RNAcentral
UACGAAGGGGGCUAGCGUUGCUCGGAAUCACUGGGCGUAAAGGGUGCGUAGGCGGGUCUUUAAGCCAGGGGUGAAAUCCAGGAGCUCAACUCCAGAACUGCCUUUGAUACUGAGGAUCUUGAGUUCGGGAGAGGUGAGUGGAACUGCGAGUGUAGAGGUGAAAUUCGUAGAUAUUCGCAAGAACACCAGUGGCGAAGGCGGCUCACUGGCCAGAUACUGACGCUGAGGCACGAAAGCGUGGGGAGCAAACAGG